CGUGCUUGUGUUGCUUAGUCUUCUUCUUCCUCGGCUUACCUCUCUCAGCCACGCCGAAUGGUGGCGACCUCAGCUACCGCUCUCUGAAACCCCUUCGGCCUCUCCGCAUUUCUCUUGGUAAUUUUUCGAAGAUUUUUGUUCUCUCCAAACGGUCGAAUUGAACCCUAGAGUGUUUCUUCGUUUUGUAGAUUGCUGAACUGAUCAACCUAGUGGUAAUUCUUGAAUUCUUCUCUUGUUUCACCAGUUUUUGUUUUGCGGAUUGGAUAAUAUGAUGAUGGAUUCUGAGAACCAGGGCUUUGAAGAAGCCCAGUUGUAUUCCUCUCGUGACCAGAUGGAAAAUUUGGUUGUCAAGGAGCAAUUAAGCUCCAAAUCUUUCUCUAAUUAUCGUAGUGCCAUGUCCUCGCUCUCAGAAACGCAUCAUCCUUUGUCCCCGCCGACCAUUCUUACACCGGCUGAUUCGGAUCCCCUGCUUGCUCCGACGAUAGAUCGAGAUGUCCGAAACCCUAAAGCGUCCGAUCGUUUAUUCUCCGAGCCACUUCACUUUUCUGAUGUGAAUUCUGUUCCGUUUGAUGGGAAUAGUUUUAGUGAUGUUAAUGGUGUUGAAAGCCCCAGCAAAAGUUCGGAGAGCUCUGGGGGUUUAUCCAGAUCUUCGUCUUCAAAUUUGGAAUAUAUACAAAUUACAGUCUCGAAUCCUCAGAAAGAGCAAGAUGUUUCGAACUCGAUAGUGCCUGGUGGUAAUUCGUACAUAACUUAUCUGAUCACUACCAGGACUAACAUGGCGGAGUUUGGGGGAUCAGAAUAUAGUGUUCGAAGGAGGUUUAAGGAUGUGGUGACGCUAUCAGAACGAUUGGCGGAGUCUUAUAGAGGGUUCUUUAUACCCCCACGCCCGGAUAAGAGUGUGGUGGAAGGCCAAGUGAUGCAUAAGCAAGAAUUUGUGGAGCAGAGGAGGAUGGCACUGGAGAAGUACUUGAGGAAACUAGCAGGACAUCCAGUGAUCAGGAAGAGCGAUGAGUUUAAGGUUUUCUUGCAGGUUCAAGGAAGAUUGCCACUGCCAACGACAACCGAUGUUGCAUCUAGGAUGCUUGAUGGUGCAGUGAAACUCCCGAAGCAGUUGCUCAGUGAGAGCGCAAUCGCACCUCAGGAGGUGGUACAGCCGGCAAAAGGUGGAAGGGAUUUGUUAAGAUUGUUCAAGGAGUUGAAGCAAUCUGUGACGAAUGACUGGGGAAGUUCAAAGCCUGCAGUCAUUGAGGAGGAUAAGAAAUUUUUGGAAAAGAAAGAAAAGUUGCGUGAUUUGGAGCAGCAGCUCAGUGCUGCAUCUCAGCAGGCAGAAUUAUUGGUUAAAGCUCAGCAAGAUAUGGCAGAAACAUUAGGAGAGUUAGGUUUGACCUUGAUUAAGUUGACAAAAUUUGAACAUGAGGAGGCUGUAUUCAACUGUCAAAGAGUUCGUGCUGCCGAUACGAAAAAUGUAGCAACUGCUGCUGUUAAAGCAAGCCGAUGCUAUCGGGAACUAAAUGCUCAAACUGUGAAACAUUUGGAUGUUCUUCACGACUAUUUGGGGUUAAUGCUAGCAGUUCAUGGUGCAUUCUCAGAACGCUCAAGUGCUUUACUGACUGAGCAAACUCUAUUGUCUGACUUGUCCUCUUUGAAAUCAAGAGCCGAAAAGCUUGAAGCUGCAUCAUCUAAAGUAUUUGGUGGUGACAUAGCGAGGAUUCAGAAGUUAGAGCAGUUAAAAGAAUCCAUAAGAACUACAGAGGAUGCUAAAAAUGUUGCAAUGCGUGAAUACGAGCGCAUAAAGGAAAACAAUAGGAGCGAGCUGGAAAGAUUUGACAGAGAGAGACAAGCCGACUUCUUGAGUAUGAUGAAAGGGUUUGUAACAAAUCAGGUCGGAUAUGCAGAGAAAAUGUCGCACGUAUGGGCAAAGGUAGCAGAGGAGACGAGCAGCUAUUCAAAGGAGAACAAUUGAAGUUUUUGUGGCUUAAGAAGAUCAUUUUUUUCUUUGUUUGUUCUAUUUUUGGUCCCACAAGAUUCAUUUUUAAGGUAAUAAAACAUAAAAGAGGAAGAACACUUGGGGAGGAGGGAUUUUUUCACCAUCUCAUUCCCCAAGUUGUUGGUGUCCUCACGAAAUGAACUAUCCAAACACUGAGCUGCUGAUGAAGUUCAUGGGAGAACUGAGGUUUGAUGAUAUAUUAUUGUAAAUUCAUCUCUUCUUCUUCUUCUUCUUCUUCUUUGUCUUAAUCCUAGAAAGUUGAAACUUCUGAGUUAA
Cucurbita moschata (crookneck pumpkin) is the source of this 2263-nucleotide RNA transcript. It is a transcript of the gene named sorting nexin 2A, with no coding region annotated. The transcript has 6 exons. Lineage: Eukaryota; Viridiplantae; Streptophyta; Magnoliopsida; Cucurbitales; Cucurbitaceae. The record is from RefSeq and is a predicted model, not a curated record.